Triticum aestivum (bread wheat) is the source of this 125-nucleotide non-coding RNA. The record is from Rfam. NCBI's taxonomy places the organism in Eukaryota, Viridiplantae, Streptophyta, Magnoliopsida, Poales, Poaceae.
GAAGUACUCCCUCCAUCCGGAAUUUCUUGUCACUAAAAUGAAUGUAUCUAGACAUAUUUUAGUUUUAGAUACAUCCAUCUUUAUCCAUUUCCGCGACAUGUAAUUUGGGACAGAGGGAGUACAAU